UACGAAGGGGGCUAGCGUUGUUCGGAAUUACUGGGCGUAAAGCGCGCGCAGGCGGCUUUCCAAGUCGAGUGGUGAAAGCCCGGAGCUCAACUCCGGAAUUGCCAUUGAAACUGUAAAGCUUGAGGACGAGAGAGGUGAGUGGAAUUCCCAGUGUAGAGGUGAAAAUUCGUAGAUAUUGGGAAGAACACCGGUGGCGAAGGCGGCUCACUGGCUCGUUUCUGACGCUCAGGCGCGACAGCGUGGGGACUCGAAACAAGG
This 258-nucleotide ribosomal RNA is filed under the name uncultured bacterium. RNAcentral's name for it is "partial 16S ribosomal RNA". It matches the Rfam family "Bacterial small subunit ribosomal RNA", at positions 524 to 777 of the family's 1533-position model. The record is from RNAcentral.